AUGAUGGGGUGCAGGCAUGCGCACGUGGAGAAAAUCGAGGAUUUUCUCCACGUGCGCAUGCCUGCACCCCAUGGG
This is a non-coding RNA of Pelobates cultripes (western spadefoot toad), 75 nucleotides long. NCBI's taxonomy places the organism in Eukaryota, Metazoa, Chordata, Amphibia, Anura, Pelobatidae. The record is from the annotation of a GenBank genome assembly.